UAACUCAGAAAACCUGUCUGAUAGAACAGAAGCCUUCCUCACAUGCUUAGACAAUAAAUGUACCUGUAAGAUGGGAUAUAUUCGACUACACAAUGACUGUUUAAAAGAUGCUGUAGAACUUGAAAUGCCAUGUAGAAUAUCAUUGCAAUGUACUGGAACCAGUGAUGCUUCUAUCUGCCAUAGAAGGAAAUGCAGUUGUGACUUUGGUUUUGUCAAAGAAGAUAAUUAUUGUAAAAGAACAGAGAGUCAACAAGAAAUAAAAUCCCUGACCA
Saccostrea cuccullata (small rock oyster) is the source of this 272-nucleotide long non-coding RNA. RefSeq lists it as uncharacterized. The transcript has 3 exons. The record is from RefSeq and is a predicted model, not a curated record. NCBI's taxonomy places the organism in Eukaryota, Metazoa, Mollusca, Bivalvia, Ostreida, Ostreidae.